AUUGAACGCUGGCGGCAUGCCUUACACAUGCAAGUCGAACGGUAACAGGUCUUCGGACGCUGACGAGUGGCGAACGGGUGAGUAAUACAUCGGAACGUGCCCAGUCGUGGGGGAUAACUACUCGAAAGAGUAGCUAAUACCGCAUACGAUCUGAGGAUGAAAGCGGGGGACCUUCGGGCCUCGCGCGAUUGGAGCGGCCGAUGGCAGAUUAGGUAGUUGGUGGGAUAAAAGCUUUCCAAGCCGACGAUCUGUAGCUGGUCUGAGAGGACGACCAGCCACACUGGGACUGAGACACGGCCCAGACUCCUACGGGAGGCAGCAGUGGGGAAUUUUGGACAAUGGGCGAAAGCCUGAUCCAGCAAUGCCGCGUGCAGGAUGAAGGCCUUCGGGUUGUAAACUGCUUUUGUACGGAACGAAAAAGCUCCUUCUAAUACAGGGGGCCCAUGACGGUACCGUAAGAAUAAGCACCGGCUAACUACGUGCCAGCAGCCGCGGUAA
This 498-nucleotide ribosomal RNA is filed under the name uncultured bacterium. RNAcentral's name for it is "partial 16S ribosomal RNA". It matches the Rfam family "Bacterial small subunit ribosomal RNA", at positions 30 to 523 of the family's 1533-position model. The record is from RNAcentral.